Molecule: ribosomal RNA, 433 nt
Filed under: uncultured bacterium
Lineage: Bacteria
Description: partial 16S ribosomal RNA
Rfam family: Bacterial small subunit ribosomal RNA
Source: RNAcentral
AACGAACGCUGGCGGCAGGCCUAACACAUGCAAGUCGAGCGCGCCCUUCGGGGUGAGCGGCGGACGGGUGGGUAACGCGUGGGAACGUGCCCUUUUCUACGGAAUAUCCUCGGGAAACUGAGAGUAAUACCGUAUACGCCCUUUGGGGGAAAGAUUUAUCGGAAAAGGAUCGGCCGGCGUGGGAUUAGGUAGUUGGUGGGGUAAUGGCCUACCAAGCCGACGAUCCAUAGCUGGGUUGAGAGGAUGAUCAGCCACACUGGGACUGAGACACGGCCCAGACUCCUACGGGAGGCAGCAGUGGGGAAUCUUAGACAAUGGGGGCAACCCUGAACGAGCCAGGACGGGUGAGUGAUGAAGGCCGUAGGGUUGUAAAGCUCUUUAAGCUGGGAAGAUAAUGACGGUACCAGCAGAAGAAGCCCCGGCUAACUCCGUG